GUGAUAGCUCAGUUAGUAGAGCAAGAGACUCUUAAUCUCAGGAUUGUGGGUCCGAGCCCCAUGUUGAACA
Non-coding RNA from Podarcis lilfordi (Lilford's wall lizard), 70 nucleotides. Lineage: Eukaryota; Metazoa; Chordata; Lepidosauria; Squamata; Lacertidae. The record is from the annotation of a GenBank genome assembly.